AACGAACGCUGGCGGCGCGCUUAACACAUGCAAGUCGAACGAGAAGCCGUAGCAAUACGGUUGUAAAGUGGCAGACGGGUGAGUAAUGCAUGGGUAAUCUACCCUCAGGUGGGGAAUAACUCUUCGAAAGGGGAGCUAAUGCCGACAAUAUCCACCAGUCUCAUAAGAGGUUGUUGGAAAGCCGAACCGAGGGUUCGGCGCCUGAGGAUGAGCUCAUGUCCUAUCAGCUUGUUGGCGGGGUAAUGGCCCACCAAGGCUGCGACGGGUAGCUGGUCUGAGAGGACGACCAGCCACACUGGCACUGCGACACGGGCCAGACUCCUACGGGAGGCAGCAGUGAGGAAUCUUGCGCAAUGGGCGAAAGCCUGACGCAGCGACGCCGCGUGGGGGAUGAAGGCCUUCGGGUUGUAAACCCCUUUCAGGAGGGAAGAUGGGACGGGCAACCGUUCGGACGGUACCUUCAGAAGCAGCCACGGCUAACUCUGUGCCAGCAGCCGCGGUAAGACAGAGGUGGCAAGCGUUGUUCGGAUUUACUGGGCGUAAAGGGUGCGUAGGUGGUUAGGUAAGACCUGCGGGAAAGACCUGGGCUUAACCCAGGAAGGUCGUAGGUGACUGCCUGGCUAGAGGGCGGGAGAGGAGAGCGGAAUUCCCGGUGUAGCGGUGAAAUGCGUAGAGAUCGGGAGGAAGGCCGGUGGCGAAGGCGGCUCUCUGGAACGUUCCUGACACUGAGGCACGAAAGCGUGGGGAGCAAACAGGAUUAGAUACCCUGGUAG
This 773-nucleotide ribosomal RNA is filed under the name uncultured Nitrospira sp. Its description in RNAcentral is "bacterial SSU rRNA". It matches the Rfam family "Bacterial small subunit ribosomal RNA", at positions 28 to 793 of the family's 1533-position model. The record is from RNAcentral. Lineage: Bacteria; Pseudomonadati; Nitrospirota; Nitrospiria; Nitrospirales; Nitrospiraceae.